UGAACGUAGGUAGACGAGGAAUCACACUUAGCCUCAGUCGCAGAAAGGCGAGCAAAAGGAGGGGGCAAGUAUUCAAACAAAUCCUCACCCACGGACGAACGUGGGUAGACGAGGAAAUACACUCAGCCCCUAUCGCAGAAAGGCGGAAAAAAGGAGGGGGUCGGGUAUUCUCAAAACCCGCCACAGGGAAGAGAACCCAAGCAGUGCUCAAGGACAGUUCAGGCAAGGCGUCAAGGUGGGCAAGCAGGGUUCCGCGGGAGAGUCGGGCCGGACAGGUGUGCAAGGAGUAGGCUUCGGCUAGGACAAACCGGAC
RNAcentral lists this long non-coding RNA (313 nucleotides) under Zostera marina. RNAcentral's name for it is "long non-coding RNA (ZMAR_LNC004205)". Lineage: Eukaryota; Viridiplantae; Streptophyta; Magnoliopsida; Alismatales; Zosteraceae. The record is from RNAcentral.